ACAGGCUUCGACUGAGGUUGGUUUCGGCAAGAGAAGCGAGUCGAGCUCAGACAACUCGUUAAACUAUCUGACAAAAAACAAACGCAAACGAACCAAUUGCACUAGCCGCUUAAUUGUGGCUCNNUGUGGCUCGUUAAACUAGAGAUUGCUCACAUCUCUAGGGCGACGUCAUCAUAGUGAGCUUACUUCACCCGGACGCCCAUAGGGGUUGAAGAAAAUCUUAUGGGAUAGCGACCGAUUUACCCUGACUAUGGGGAUGCCGGAAGCGAAUAACAAACAUAGUCUACACUCGUAGAUGCUCUUGUGGAAAUGCCUGAGGACGUGGGUUCGAUUCA
This 335-nucleotide transfer-messenger RNA is filed under the name Actinomycetota bacterium. RNAcentral's name for it is "Actinobacteria bacterium (groundwater metagenome) transfer-messenger RNA". It matches the Rfam family "transfer-messenger RNA". Rfam says of the family: Bacterial tmRNA, also known as 10Sa RNA or SsrA, is named for its dual tRNA and mRNA-like properties. Its role is to liberate the mRNA from a stalled ribosome. To accomplish this part of the tmRNA is used as a reading frame that ends in a translation stop signal. Lineage: Bacteria; Bacillati; Actinomycetota. The record is from RNAcentral.